AUGAACGCUGGCGGCGCGCCUAACACAUGCCGGUCGAACGGCACCCCUCCUCGGAGGGCAGCGAGUGGCGAACGGCUGAGUAACACGUGGAGAACCUGCCCCCUCCCCCGGGAUAGCCGCCCGAAAGGACGGGUAAUACCGGAUACCCCGGGGUGCCGCAUGGCACCCCGGCUAAAGCCCCGACGGGAGGGGAUGGCUCCGCGGCCCAUCAGGUAGACGGCGGGGUGACGGCCCACCGUGCCGACAACGGGUAGCCGGGUUGAGAGACCGACCGGCCAGAUUGGGACUGAGACACGGCCCAGACUCCUACGGGAGGCAGCAGUGGGGAAUCUUGCGCAAUGGGGGGAACCCUGACGCAGCGACGCCGCGUGCGGGACGGAGGCCUUCGGGUCGUAAACCGCUUUCAGCAGGGAAGAGUCAAGACUGUACCUGCAGAAGAAGCCCCGGCUAACUACGUG
Molecule: ribosomal RNA, 458 nt
Filed under: uncultured bacterium
Lineage: Bacteria
Description: partial 16S ribosomal RNA
Rfam family: Bacterial small subunit ribosomal RNA
Source: RNAcentral